RNAcentral lists this ribosomal RNA (829 nucleotides) under uncultured bacterium. Its description in RNAcentral is "bacterial SSU rRNA". It matches the Rfam family "Bacterial small subunit ribosomal RNA", at positions 72 to 916 of the family's 1533-position model. The record is from RNAcentral.
UGAGGAGCUUGCUCUUCAGAUCGAGUGGCGAACGGGUGAGUAACGCGUGAGGAACCUGCCUCAAAGAGGGGGACAACAGUUGGAAACGACUGCUAAUACCGCAUAAGCCCACAGCUCGGCAUCGAGCAGAGGGAAAAGGAGUGAUCCGCUUUGAGAUGGCCUCGCGUCCGAUUAGCUAGUUGGUGAGGUAACGGCCCACCAAGGCAACGAUCGGUAGCCGGACUGAGAGGUUGAACGGCCACAUUGGGACUGAGACACGGCCCAGACUCCUACGGGAGGCAGCAGUGGGGAAUAUUGCACAAUGGGGGAAACCCUGAUGCAGCGACGCCGCGUGGAGGAAGAAGGUCUUCGGAUUGUAAACUCCUGUUGUUGAGGAAGAUAAUGACGGUACUCAACAAGGAAGUGACGGCUAACUACGUGCCAGCAGCCGCGGUAAAACGUAGGUCACAAGCGUUGUCCGGAAUUACUGGGCGUAAAGGGAGCGCAGGCGGGAGAACAAGUUGGAAGUGAAAUCCAUGGGCUCAACCCAUGAACUGCUUUCAAAACUGUUUUUCUUGAGUAGUGCAGAGGUAGGCGGAAUUCCCGGUGUAGCGGUGGAAUGCGUAGAUAUCGGGAGGAACACCAGUGGCGAAGGCGGCCUACUGGGCACCAACUGACGCUGAGGCUCGAAAGUGUGGGUAGCAAACAGGAUUAGAUACCCUGGUAGUCCACACCGUAAACGAUGAUUACUAGGUGUUGGAGGAUUGACCCCUUCAGUGCCGCAGUUAACACAAUAAGUAAUCCACCUGGGGAGUACGACCGCAAGGUUGAAACUCAAAUGAAUUGACGG